This 946-nucleotide ribosomal RNA is filed under the name uncultured archaeon. RNAcentral's name for it is "bacterial SSU rRNA". It matches the Rfam family "Archaeal small subunit ribosomal RNA", at positions 1 to 924 of the family's 1478-position model. The record is from RNAcentral.
UUUCCGGUUGAUCCCGCCGGACCCUACUGCUAUCGGGGUGGGACUAAGACAUGCUAGUCGAGCGCCUUGGGCUAUGGCGAGGCGCGGCGUACGGCUCAGUAACACGUGGUUAACCUACCCUUAGGACGGGGACAACCCCGGGAAACUGGGGCUAAUUUCUGAUAGGUGAGGAGGCCUGGAAUGGUUCUUCGCCGAAAAGGCGUUGAAACCACGCUUUUCAGCGUCGCCUAAGGAUGGGGCCGCGCCCGAUCAGGUUGUUGGUGAGGUAACGGCUCACCAAGCCUAUAACCGGUACGGGCCGUGAGAGCGGGAGCCCGGAGAUGGGCACUGAGACAAGGGCCCAGGCCCUACGGGGCGCAGCAGUCGCGAAAACUCCGCAAUGCGCGAAAGCGUGACGGGGCUACCCCGAGUGCCGUCCGCUGAGGAUGGCUUUUCCCCGGUGUAAUGAGCCGGGGGAAUAAGGAGAGGGCAAGACUGGUGUCAGCCGCCGCGGUAAUACCAGCUCUCCGAGUGGUAGGGACGAUUAUUGGGCUUAAAGCGUCCGUAGCCGGCUUAGCAAGUCUCCUGUUAAAUUCAGCGACUCAAUCGUUGAGCCGCGGGGGAUACUACUAGGCUAGGAGGCGGGAGAGGUCGACGGUAUUCCCGGGGGAGGGGUGAAAUCCUAUAAUCCCGGGAGGACCACCAGUGGCGAAGGCUGUCGGCUAGAACGCGCUCGACGGUGAGGGACGAAAGCUGGGGGAGCGAACCGGAUUAGAUACCCGGGUAGUCCCAGCUGUAAACGAUGCGGGCUAGGUGUUGAGGUGGCUACGAGCCACUUCAGUGCCGCAGGGAAGCCAUUAAGCCCGCCGCCUGGGGAGUACGGCCGCAAGGCUGAAACUUAAAGGAAUUGGCGGGGGAGCACCACAAGGCGUGAAGCUUGCGGUUCAAUUGGAUUCAACGCCGGGAA